AAACAUAAAAGGUCGUGCCUUCCCCGGUGGGCAUGUGGGCCUAAACGGACGCGGUAAAUCGUGCUAAGGUAGCUAAAUUAUGGCCCAUUAAUUGUGGGUCCUGUGAAUGGUUUGACGAGUCCUCGACUGUCUCAAGGUUGUUUUGGUGAACUUGAAUUGAAUGUGCAAAUGCUUUCAUGGGUAAGAAAGACGAGAAGACCCCGUGAAGUUAGAAAUUCUUGUCAUAGCGUAAGUUCUUAGUUGGAGGUGGGCUACAACUCAAAGUAUGGGUUUGUUGCCUUAGUUGGGGAGUGUGGUUUUGUGUUUUGGCUGGGGCAGCAAAGAGGCAAGCCUAGACCUCUUUCGAUUUUAAACGGGUGCGUUACGACCCAUUAGUUUGAAAGAUAUGAUUAGCAGAAGUAGUUACUCCGGGGAUAACAGCGUUAUCCGCCCCGAUAGCUCUUAUAGACGGGCGGGUUUGCGACCUCGAUGUUGGCUCUGGUUAUCCUGAGGCUUGUAGGAGGUCUUAAGGGUUGGUUCG
This 520-nucleotide ribosomal RNA is filed under the name Scaeochlamys livida. RNAcentral's name for it is "partial 16S ribosomal RNA". It matches the Rfam family "Bacterial large subunit ribosomal RNA", at positions 1841 to 2579 of the family's 2925-position model. Lineage: Eukaryota; Metazoa; Mollusca; Bivalvia; Pectinida; Pectinidae. The record is from RNAcentral.